This 2010-nucleotide long non-coding RNA is filed under the name Salmo salar (Atlantic salmon). Its description in RNAcentral is "lncRNA (ENSSSAG00000089360.1)". Lineage: Eukaryota; Metazoa; Chordata; Actinopteri; Salmoniformes; Salmonidae. The record is from RNAcentral.
GGGACUGUGUGAAUGUCCUCUACACUGUUAGACACAUAGCAGAGGGACUGUGUGAAUGUCCUCUCCCCUGUUAGACCCAUAGUAGAGGGACUGUGUGAAUGUCCACUCCCCUGUUAGACUCAUAGUAGAGGGACUGUGAGAAUGUCCACUCCCCUGUUAGACUCAUAGUAGAGGGACUGUGAGAAUGUCCACUCCCCUGUUAGACUCAUAGUAGAGGGACUGUGAGAAUGUCCACUCCCCUGUUAGACCCCAUAGUAGAGGGGACUGUGUGAAUGUCCUCUCCCCUGUUUGACUCCAUAGUAGAGGGACUGUGUGAAUGUCCACUCCCCUGUUAGACCCAUAGUAGAGGGGACUGUGUGAAUGUCCUCUCCCCUGUUUGACUGCAUAGAAGAGGAACUGUGUGAAUGUCCACUCCCCUGUUUGACUCCAUAGCAGAGGGACUGUGUGAAUGUCCACUCCCCUGUUAGACCCAUAGUAGAGGGGACUGUGUGAAUGUCCACUCCCCUGUUAGACCCAUAGUAGAGGGGACUGUGUGAAUGUCCUCUCUCCUGUUAGAAUCAUAGUAGAGGGACUUUGUGAAUGUCCUCUACCCUGUUAGACCCAUAGUAGAGGGACUGUGUGAAUGUCCUCUCCCCUGUUAGACCCCAUAGUAGAGGGGACUGUGUGAAUGUCCACUACCCUGUUAGACCCAUAGUAGAGGGGACUGUGUGAAUGUCCACUCCCCUGUUAGACUCAUAGUAGAGGGACUGUGUGAAUGUCCUCUCCCCUGUUAGACUCAUAGUAGAGGGACUGUGAGAAUGUCCACUCCCCUGUUAGACUCAUAGUAGAGGGACUGUGAGAAUGUCCACUCCCCUGUUAGACCCAAUAGUAGAGGGGACUGUGUGAAUGUCCACUCCCCUGUUAGACCCAUAGUAGAGGGGACUGUGUGAAUGUCCUCUCCCCUGUUUGAGUCCAUAGUAGAGGGACUGUGUGAAUGUCCACUCCCCUGUUAGAUCCAUAGUAGAGGGGACUGUGUGAAUGUCCUCUCCCCUGUUUGACUCCAUAGAAGAGGAACUGUGUGAAUGUCCACUCCCCUGUUUGACUCCAUAGUAGAGGGGACUGUGAGAAUGUCCACUCCCCUGUUAGACCCAUAGUAGAGGGGACUGUGUGAAUGUCCACUCCCCUGUUUGACUCCAUAGUAGAGGGGACUGUGUGAAUGUCCUCUCCCCUGUUAGACCCAUAGUAGAGGGGACUGUGUGAAUGUCCACUCCCCUGUUAGACCCAUAGUAGAGGGGACUGUGUGAAUGUCCUCUCUCCUGUUAGACUCAUAGUAGAGGGACUUUGUGAAUGUCCUCUACCCUGUUAGACCCAUAGUAGAGGGACUGUGUGAAUGUCCUCUCCCCUGUUAGACCCCAUAGUAGAGGGGACUGUGUGAAUGUCCACUACCCUGUUAGACCCAUAGUAGAGGGGACUGUGUGAAUGUCCACUCCCCUGUUAGACUCAUAGUAGAGGGACUGUGUGAAUGUCCUCUCCCCUGUUAGACUCAUAGUAGAGGGACUGUGAGAAUGUCCACUCCCCUGUUAGACUCAUAGUAGAGGGACUGUGAGAAUGUCCACUCCCCUGUUAGACCCAAUAGUAGAGGGGACUGUGUGAAUGUCCACUCCCCUGUUAGACCCAUAGUAGAGGGGACUGUGUGAAUGUCCUCUCCCCUGUUUGAGUCCAUAGUAGAGGGACUGUGUGAAUGUCCACUCCCCUGUUAGAUCCAUAGUAGAGGGGACUGUGUGAAUGUCCUCUCCCCUGUUUGACUCCAUAGAAGAGGAACUGUGUGAAUGUCCACUCCCCUGUUUGACUCCAUAGUAGAGGGGACUGUGAGAAUGUCCACUCCCCUGUUAGACCCAUAGUAGAGGGGACUGUGUGAAUGUCCACUCCCCUGUUUGACUCCAUAUAGAGGGGACUGUGUGAAUGUCCACUCUCCUGUUAGACCCAUAGUAGAGGGGACUGUGUGAAUGUCCACUCCCCUGUUAAACCCAU